UGAAAUAAAGUUGACAUGUCAUACUGGGAAAAAGGGAGUUAGUUAUUCAACAAGCUGAGUCACCGCUCUGCCGCAGCUACAAGAAUGAGACACCCUGCAGAAAUUCAGAGCAAACUGCCAGACUGCCAGGCUGAGUAGCAAAGAGAAACAGGUCUAGGGAUGACCUAACACACCCUUAUGAUUUUGAAAUGCCUGGAUUGGGAAGAAAGAGAGAAAGAAAGGAAGAAUUCAGAAAGAGAGAAGUGGAAUCUUUAGACUAUAUCCAAACCAUCAAGAAUCAGACAAAUGAAUGAAGUCCAAGAAAAGUUCCUAAGGAAAAUGGACAACAUGGCAUGGGAGAAAAGUAUUUGUGGCAAAGAGAUAAAAUCCUUCUGAAAACUGUGUUGCUACAUAAUAGCAGUAAGCUUAGCAUCACUAUAAAAAGAAACCAAUUUUUCCUUUGGAGGUAUAUGGCAUAUUACACGCUUGAGCACAAAUGAUGGUUAAGUCCAAAUUCUAAGAUCCAUAUUCUGAAGAAAUAAAUGUAUCUUACUUGCUGAA
Molecule: long non-coding RNA, 540 nt
Organism: Erinaceus europaeus (western European hedgehog)
Lineage: Eukaryota; Metazoa; Chordata; Mammalia; Eulipotyphla; Erinaceidae
Exons: 2
Source: RefSeq, a predicted model, not a curated record